Molecule: long non-coding RNA, 635 nt
Filed under: Pan troglodytes (chimpanzee)
Lineage: Eukaryota; Metazoa; Chordata; Mammalia; Primates; Hominidae
Description: long non-coding RNA NONPTRT001382
Source: RNAcentral
CCUGAAUGACUUAAACUGAUAAAACUUCACAUGGACCAACAUUCCCAAACAUUUCCCUUUAAAAUACACUUCCGAAAAUCACACGCACCAUCUAUUUCUUAGAUCUGUAAAGCUCACUCAUUUCACCAACUCCUGAGGACCUCUCUAACACAGACUUUGAUGACUCUUCCAAAUUCACCAAAUUUCUUUCCGGUCCUAACUUCAGGGUUGAUUCCCUUUUCUCUUCUACAGGAAUACCCCCACCCCAACAAUGAAAGGAGAUGAAAUAAACCAGGAGUUGCAAAGACCAGCGGAGAUAAUUACAUAGCAGCCUGGAAAAGAGAAAAAAAAAAAUAAAGAACAAAAAGAGGCGUCUACGGCACCAGACGGUGUGCUCCUUUGUGCACCUAUGUUCAGGAGAACUCCCCGAAGAUCACUUCGUCUCCCUUCACCACAAUCUCCUUCUUCUGGAUGUUGUACUGUCGCAGGACGCUAAGCACGUCCGCCAUCUUCCACCCCCUCGCCUCCGCCGGCUCGGGGCGCCGCCGCUGCCGCCGCGCCUGCCUCCUUCUUCUCUUGUCGCCUCGCCCUCUUCCUCCUCCUCCUUCGCCGCCGCGACGAACCAACAGCAGCAGCACUAACAGCCGUCCUCGCCU